CCUACGGGAGGCAGCAGUAAGGAAUCUUCCACAAUGGACGAAAGUCUGAUGGAGCAACGCCGCGUGCAGGAUGAAGGCUUUCGGGUCGUAAACUGCUUUUAUAUGGGAAGAUUAUGACGGUACCAUAUGAAUAAGGACCGGCUAACUACGUGCCAGCAGCCGCGGUAAUACGUAGGGUCCAAGCGAUAUCCGGAAUUACUGGGCGUAAAGCGUGUGUAGGUGGAUUAAUAAGUGUGAUGCGAAAUCCGGCGGCUCAACCGUUUGGACUGUGUCGCAUACUGUUAGCCUAGAGGACGGCAGAGGUAAGUGGAAUUACGGGUGUAGCAGUGAAAUGCGUAGAUAUCCGUAGGAACACCAAUGGCGAAGGCAGCUUACUGGGCCACACCUGACACUGAGACACGAAAGCGUGGGGAGCGAACAGGAUUAGAUACCCUGGUAGUCCACGCCGUAAACGAUGCAUACUAUUAGUAUGGGGUAUCGACCCCCUGUGCUGAGAAGCUAACGCGAUAAGUAUGCCGCCUGGGGAGUACGAGCGCAAGCUUAAAACUCAAAGGAAUUGACGG
This 563-nucleotide ribosomal RNA is filed under the name uncultured bacterium. RNAcentral describes it as "bacterial SSU rRNA". It matches the Rfam family "Bacterial small subunit ribosomal RNA", at positions 338 to 916 of the family's 1533-position model. The record is from RNAcentral.